Molecule: long non-coding RNA, 2148 nt
Filed under: Elaeis guineensis (African oil palm)
Lineage: Eukaryota; Viridiplantae; Streptophyta; Magnoliopsida; Arecales; Arecaceae
Description: long non-coding RNA (EGUI_LNC081574)
Source: RNAcentral
CUUUAACUGCAAGGUAGGAGUGAGAACGAUAGGGUGCCUUUGGGGCGUAGCGGAAGACCAAGCCAAUCUCGAAAUCUCUAUCCUUCGGUCACUUUUCGUUAGUUAGGUUCAACAGUCGGUCAAAAAUCUCCUCUUCCUUCCCUUUUUCAGGCUUUUCAUUUGAGUUUCUAGCCAUGGAUCCAGUUUCAAUAUGAAAUAAAAAGCACGCCUGGGCCUGGGGUAAGCCCCUCCAGAGUAAGGCCAGUCGUAAUAGAAUACCUUCUACCGGAAAGAGUGAGUUCCAGAAAUCGAGUUGAGGAGGAGUACUUUAUAGGUUGUAGCAGUAUCAAUUGUAAGAAUAACACAGGGGUAGGCCUAUACAGUCUCUCUUGUCCCGGAGGCCAUGUUCGGUUUCGACAAAAUCUUUUCCAUCAUGUUUCAGUGCUUAUGCCUGCGAUCCUGUGCCAGUAGUCUAUUAUGCCUAAGGAGUAGAUGGAGUAUCUAUACAGAAGCGUCCUUUCUUUUCCUCUUACACAAAGAAAGGGCUUAGUGCAGUCCUGUUCCUAGCCAGUGUUAAGUGCUUUUAUAAGAGCAGUCCUACUUUCAGAGCCAGUGCGAGUUCCCUUUCAGCUCUCUCUUUUCAGCCAGAGGUUUCGAAGUCCCUCUUUCUAUCUUUCCAGUUAUUUCGUACCUAGUGGAAUAUAUGGAUAAUCCCCAAAAGCAAUAAAUGAAGAAUGGGAGUUGUAUAAAAAAGGGCCGUUACUUGUUGAAGUGCUUAUGUCUUAUCCUUCACUGGAGAGAUUGAAUUUUCUUUAUUACCUGCCUGAAAGUGUGGGGCUACUAUGAAAAAAAAAAGGCUAUCUUCCCAAUAGGCUGUGGGGGAAUACUCUAUUGGGCUUUCCCUGUUUUGAGGACUUCUAUCAUCAUAUGGUUGUUGAAAUACCUUCAUUUAAUUCUCUGCUAGGUCUAACGAUGACGAUGAGAGAGAGUACACCCGAAGUAUACGAGCAAAUAGUCAUUUUCCCACUUUAUUUUGGAAAGUUUGAUCCUCCCCCUAGUGUAAGAAAAUGGAUUUUCUGAGGGGGUCUGAGUAUCCAAUUCCCUUCGAGUUUCCUUUUUUUGAGGAAAAGCAAGUUCCCAGGCAGCUUCACUAUACGCUACUUGCAGCUAAUGGGAAUUUCCCUCUUCAUGCUGAACUAUAAUCUAGCGACUUACAGCCUGCCUCGUGGGAAUUCUGUUCCAUCUCGUAAACCAGAAAAGCCCCUACAGUUCUGGUAUCUAGUCUUUCUGCUUGCGAUUCAAGAAAAUCAUAAACCUCACCAGUUGGAGUUGCUUCGGAAUUCCCUGAGGUUUGAGUAGCCGUUUGAGUUUCGAGUCAUGCACUUCUAAGCGAUCCAGACGGGGACAGCGCAUAUAUGAAUUCUACUAGCUCAGUUCCUCCAGUUUCAGGUAAGUCUCUGUUUCUGUCGUUCAAGUCAAGUAACAGAAUCCCUUAAGUUCAAUCACUUUGCCCUUGAGUUGCAUUUUUCAUUCUCUUACCUGCGGUUGGAGUUCUAGUGCUUGAGAUUCAUUCCUUCUGUUUUUGGGGUUCCAGCCGAGCUAGUAUCAUUCUCAUUACCUACCAAGAGCAAGCCAGUUUCGUUAAUGCCUGAUAGUGUGAAAGCCUUUACAGCUGUUUGAUUUCCCAGGGCCAGCUAGCAUUCUUUUCCAGAGCUUUAUUACCUAGACUAUCCUAUUUCGAAAAAAGCCCUCAAUAACUGGUGUUGUCGGGGGGUCUAAGACACUAAUUGAUAGAUUGAUUUCCCUUAAUGAGGAAUAGUAUCAUAUGGGUUUGAAGGACUCCUUCUCAUAGGGUUUCUCUCCAGAUAAGUGAGUUGGAAAGCGAAAGCCAGUAAGAGGAACUCUUUCUUUCUCUGGUGGGGCUAACAAUAUUCGAGCGAAUUCCAUCAAGUGCAAGCUAUUCAGUCAAGCCAGUUGGAAUAGUUGAGAGCUCCACAAUCGAAGCAUAUUGAUUCCUUGAGGAAUUGAGAGGUCCAUCCUUUCAAGCAGGUUUUUUUAGGUCAAUCCAACAAGUAAGCUUUAGAUGACUUAAGGAAGAGAGCGGGUUCCUCAUUUCGGAUAUCAAGUUUCCAGUGACCCAUGGGGAGUAAGAGUUGAAAGAAUGGCAUU